UUUCAGAGCUGGGCUCCAGGAACGUGCAGGUGCAGGCAGUCCGUAUCACCUGGCCUAAGGAGGACAGGGUGGAGUCUGCCCACACCUGCAGCCUGACUGGGCUCACCCAGGACCUUAGCCAGAAGAAGAAGAUUCCAGAUCUUGGGAACUGGGAUGCCUGUGAGUUGGGAUGAUGACUCCACACCCACAAGUUGAGAAAAACGAAACUAGAACUGGAUGAAAUCUCAGCUUUGUUGGAGCCUUAAGGAGCAUGAAGACGGAACUACAUCUCCCAGGAUACCACUCGGCCAAUCUGUCGCUUUGCCCCACCGUCUGACCGCACCCCUCGCAGUCCAUCUUUAUAAAGGCAGAGCGACCCGAGGCGCGCAGAGCAGUGCUGGCGGUGUGGGGUGCACACAGAUUUUGCUGCUUUGGUGUGCACACUGCGUUUGGUCGCCUCCAGGGCUUUCCUGCCUAGCGAGCGUCCUCCCUGUGACACCAGAUCCCCGCGGACCUACAAACCCGAGCCCUCAAUGGGAUAUUCUGGGUUCGCCAGAGGGGUUUUCCCGAGCGCGGAUUGUACGUUUGCGCUGGCGAUGCGCACAGAAGAAAAGGCUGUGCGAGGAGACAGGAUGCGCCGGUCGGAAUCCCCGGUGGCCCUCGCCCGCAGCUCUGGCGUCGGUCCAUUCCGGGGACCUCGCUGCAGCCGCUCGGGAGUCCGGGCUCGUGAUCUUCCCGCUACCCACGCGGGUCCCUAGCGCGGUGGCGGCGCUUUGGGGUCUGGAUGAACAGGGGAGAAGAGGGUGGGGGCGCCGGAUCCCCUAACGUGGAUUACUUGGUGCUUAUCAACUGGAUUUAGAAGACCCGCGCGCGACCUCGUCCCCAUCGUCCACGGGUUAUCGUUCCACCUCCCAGCUGCUCUCCCACCUGGAGGUAAGACCAGAGGUUUCUGCCAGCGAUGGAGCAAGGACAAGAGAAAGGCUUAGAAGGAGGCUGACCAAGGGCUGUUCCUGCUCACCCGUGCUGCUCACCAGAAGCUCUGUGGAACCGUGGAAAAUAUGUUCCUGGCCCUCCUUUGAGGACUCGUCCAAGAUCAGGCUAUCUCUUAAGAGGCAAGAUCCCUGGAUUUCAACUGAGGAAUAUUAUUUUGAAAGCUAUAGAAACUUCCAGACUGUGAAGCUGUUUGGGAACACUCUGCAUUGACUUGAAUAAAGAAAUACAUACAUCGUGGACAUGACUACAGCUAGGGAAGGCUCAUCAUCCCAACUCAUCUACUGUCUUGUAGAAGACAAGUCUCCUGGUAUCACUACCUAGGAUAUUCUUCUCUACCCUGUUGCUGUCCCAGGCACCACACCCUUUCCUGCCUGACCCCACCUUGCCUUUGGACCCAGAGAUUCUUCUUAUUUGCUCUGAUAUCUUCGAGCCGGAGGCAGAGUGAAUAGUUAACUACACUUGAGUUGAAUGGGAUCUUGAUUUUUGUUUCUGUUCCUUGUAAAGAGGCCAUUCCCUGUGCACAGUGCACAGCCUGGAGAUGUUAAGUGACUCCUGGACUCCUGAGUGACGCGGGAAUUGGCGUGGAGGUUCUGUGGCCUCUUGGCAGUCAGGGCAAGUGGAGACGGCUGAGCAGGGGAGUAGAGCAGGGCUGGUCCUGACUUUGGGCUUGCGUUGCUUGGAUCCCAUGCAGGUGUGCAUUUGGACACAUAGAGAUGAAGCCAUCGUCCAGUCCAUCUUCGGUGAUGCAAAUGGGAUGAGCUAUAAAGACCUUCAGAGGUGACAGGGAUCAACUCAUCCAGGUGCUUUGAGACUGAGGCAUUGCCUACUGAGGACCUUGUCCCCCAGUUUAUGCUGGUGUCCCAUGCAGCUGUCAGAAGCUGGGAACUUCUCUUAUCUCUUUCCUCUGUGGCCUCUACUUGGGCAGUUGAGAAUCCUUCCUAAUGAAAUCGUGGUUCCACCUUCUUGACUGCACACUCGAAGAUGUUUGAGGAUUUGUAUUUAUAGUUUGUUUAUAUAAAACAUCCAAACUCCU
Molecule: long non-coding RNA, 2005 nt
Organism: Alexandromys fortis (reed vole)
Lineage: Eukaryota; Metazoa; Chordata; Mammalia; Rodentia; Cricetidae
Exons: 4
Source: RefSeq, a predicted model, not a curated record